UCGGAGCAUCGUGACCGCUCGAUCUAAUCUCAUAGUCUCCGCUCUCACAUCCAUGUUCGAUCGAUUUUCGAGGCAAUUCGCUCCCCACCUUCCUUGUUUCUGCAGCUAAUCACGUAUCAAAUCGGGGGACCAAUACAAAUUAAGUAGAGUAGAAAUUAUUUCCUUCCGCAUAUGUCACUCCCGGAAAAAAUCUCACAUGAAUCUCCUCUCCCUCUCGAUCCAAUUGCGCCGCCGCCUCACCACCAACCUGGCCGGCCAUCCCAGCCACCACGUCCCUCGCGCUGCCACCGCUUUUUUCAGCGGAGUCAGGGCCUCGGAAGGAGCCGCCGUUUACUCUACGCUUCGGGGACGCACACGCCGCCACCAUCCUCAACAACCGCGGCGUCGGGACGCCCUGGGGAGGUACGGUGGCGGAAGGAGGAAGUGCCUUGCAGCACAUGGAUGCCCAGGAUGUUGCUCUGUUUUUCAAGGUCAAGGUUUGAGCAUGGGACAUCACUUCUCAAGCCAACAGGUUACUUCACCCCCAUGCGGCAUCAGAAUCCAUCUAUUCAUCCUCCAUGAUCCGUCUACCUCGUAAGUGAGAUGGUCGCGGUCAGAUAUAUAUAGGAGAGCAGCAGGAUAGAGUGUGAACUUGAUAUGUACAUGGAUUCCCAGUCGACUGGUUGGGAUGCAUGAAAGGAGCAUAUCCGCCGCCGAUUCGCUCGACGUGUACAAUGUCUUUUGCCAUCUCAAGUUCAUGUGCAGCUACGCAAUGAAAUAUGUCCCGAUUGACCUACAUGUGGAGGACUUCAAGGCCUGACCAGCCCAGCAGGGAUUACGUGUUUGGUUAUGAGCGACGCAGGUCUGCCUGAUUUUGACUGAAAGAUGUAUUAUGUGUCCCUAACUAAUUAGCCAUACAAUUUAACAGGUGAUUGAUUAUAUUCUGUAUUGCCACAAUGGUCACGAAACUUCUUGCUGAAGUUCUCUCCCAGCUGAAACUGAAUAUUAGAGUGACUCAUUUCAGAUAGUCACAAACUGCAAGGACUAAGGUCUCGGAUGAAUCCACAAGGUCAAAGGGUGUGAUAUUAGUUAAUUCUGAUGCUCAUACAUGUAGUUCCCAUUUUCACAUAUUUUACUAGAAUCUCAUGUACAUUCAUCAUAAAGUUAUUUGCAUUUACAAGGUUAGGAUUCCUGCUGGUAGAGAAAAGUACUUACAUAGAAUUGGAGGACAUUAUGGAAAGGCAAGGAAGGGCAGGACAUGUUGCUACUCCCUGUUGAAGUCAUUUUCUUACUAACGUUAAAGAUUUGUCGGUAUCAGAGCCUAUGACACUUCAUUUGAUUCAAGCAUUCAAACAGACAAUUUUAGUACUUGUGUAUCUUGUUCUGAAAUUUGACCAGUCUGGUGCAAAUAUAGCAAUGGUUGAUUAUAUUUUGUAUUGCCGCAAUGGUGCAAACCUGAAGUCAAUUUUCUGAUAUGUGCUUCACUUGACAGGUGGAAGGUGCACCAAGAAGAGUUGAGAUGAAUAGAAAACACUCAAGAACUUUCUGUCAUCCAUGUGCUCUUCCGGAGAUGUUUUAAUGAUGCAAGAUAUUACCUGUCUAGGUUAUUUUAAGGCACAAAUCUUCUUCAGAGCAACAACAACAACAACUGGAGCCGCUACAACAAUGCUCAAGGCCUCAAACCUCUUCAUCGUGUUGGCAAUACUUUGAGUUUGAGUCUCUUCCCUGCGGCGGAAUCGGAGGCGGCGCGUGAUGGUGGAAGGGAGGUCGGGGCGGCGGGUGAUGGUGGAAGGGAGGCCAAAGCGGAGCAUGAUGGUGGAAGGGUGGCCUGGGUGGCACUAGGUGUGGCAUCGGAAGCCUUCUCCAAGGAGUGGCGGCUUGCGAAGAAAAACGACGAUUUGAAUCGGACUGAAUCGUUUGGAAUUGGAGAGGGCUGUUGCAAAAAAAGAAUUUCUAUAUACGUUGUAGAAGUUAUUUCGGGACACGAUAUUUAGGAACUGAGGAAACUCACAUGAAAAUGAAGCAGAAUAAAAUAUGCCUAACAUUGUACGAAAAUAUGUGAUUAGCAUCGAGGAGUAGUUAUUUGUGAAUGGAGUAUAUACAUUUGAAUAUAAAAUAAUUAUGUGA
This is a long non-coding RNA of Lolium perenne, 2106 nucleotides long. RefSeq lists it as uncharacterized. Lineage: Eukaryota; Viridiplantae; Streptophyta; Magnoliopsida; Poales; Poaceae. The record is from RefSeq and is a predicted model, not a curated record.